This 72-nucleotide transfer RNA is filed under the name Dallia pectoralis (Alaska blackfish). RNAcentral's name for it is "tRNA-OTHER". It matches the Rfam family "tRNA". From Rfam's summary of the family: Transfer RNA (tRNA) molecules are approximately 80 nucleotides in length. Their secondary structure includes four short double-helical elements and three loops (D, anti-codon, and T loops). The record is from RNAcentral. Lineage: Eukaryota; Metazoa; Chordata; Actinopteri; Esociformes; Umbridae.
GGUUCUAUGGUGUAAUGGUCAGCACUCUGGGCUUUGAAUCCAGUGAUCCGAGUUCAAGUCUCGGUAGAACCU